Vigna unguiculata (cowpea) is the source of this 526-nucleotide long non-coding RNA. RefSeq lists it as uncharacterized. Lineage: Eukaryota; Viridiplantae; Streptophyta; Magnoliopsida; Fabales; Fabaceae. The record is from RefSeq and is a predicted model, not a curated record.
CAUGCAUGCCUUUUAAUUGGUGCUUCUCGAUCACCUAUUCCACUUCUUCUCUAUUUAAGCCUUCCAUUCUUCGAUACAUUUCAAGAUGUAUCGAUGGAGCGGUUUUGGUGAGUGAAGAAAAGUUAGAAGGGGAAGUUGAGUGAAAACUAGUCUUUGAAGGUGGUUAGAAGUUUGAACUGCAUGCAGCAUGAAGAAAGGUUUUGUUUACUGUUAUUCAUUGAGACUUGCUUGGAUGAGGGCCCGUACUUGAUGCUGGUGAAGAUGCAUCAAGAGUCCUAAAAGGAUUAUGAACAAAAGGUACUUGAGGUUCUUUUGAAAUCGAAUCAUUAAUUAUAUCAAAUGAAUCUUUUGAGAUUUCCACCUUUUCGAUUAUGUCAUCUACCAUUUUAGCUUAUUUUCUCAUUUAAGAAUUUUUAUCUUUGGAAUCAAUAUCACGCUUCAAGUGUGUAUUUGGAACCAACAGAACUACCAUGCUUCAGGCGUGUUAUGAAUUAAUAUCAAAUAUAUUAUGAGCAUUAGCAACUGA